Molecule: ribosomal RNA, 440 nt
Filed under: uncultured bacterium
Lineage: Bacteria
Description: partial 16S ribosomal RNA
Rfam family: Bacterial small subunit ribosomal RNA
Source: RNAcentral
CCUACGGGGUGCAGCAGUAGGGAAUUUUGCGCAAUGGGCGAAAGCCUGACGCAGCAACGCCGCGUGAUCGAGACGCCCUUCGGGGUGUAAAGAUCUGUCAGUGGGGACGAAACUUGGCGGUACCCACCGAGGAAGCACCGGCUAACUCCGUGCCAGCAGCCGCGGUAAUACGUGGGGUGCAAGCGUUGUCCGGAAUCAUUGGGCGUAAAGAGUUCGUAGGCGGAACGUAAGGUCUGGUGUUAAAGGCAGAGGCUCAACUUCGGUACGGCACUGGAUAGUUGCGAGCUAGAAUGCGGGAGAGGUAAAGGGAAUUCCUGGUGUAGCGGUGAAAUGCUUAGAUAUCAGGAGGAACACCGGUGGCGAAAGCGCUUUACUGGGCCGUAAUUGACGCUGAGGAACGAAAGCCAGGGGAGCAAAUGGGAUUAGAUACCCUUGUAGUC